RNAcentral lists this ribosomal RNA (1343 nucleotides) under uncultured bacterium. RNAcentral describes it as "16S ribosomal RNA". It matches the Rfam family "Bacterial small subunit ribosomal RNA", at positions 28 to 1378 of the family's 1533-position model. The record is from RNAcentral.
GACGAACGCUGUCGGCGUGCUUAACACAUGCAAGUCGAACGGAAAGGCCCUGCUUUUGUGGGGUGCUCGAGUGGCGAACGGGUGAGUAACACGUGAGUAACCUGCCCUUGACUUUGGGAUAACUUCAGGAAACUGGGGCUAAUACCGGAUAGGAGCUCCUGCUGCAUGGUGGGGGUUGGAAAGUUUCGGCGGUUGGGGAUGGACUCGCGGCUUAUCAGCUUGUUGGUGGGGUAGUGGCUUACCAAGGCUUUGACGGGUAGCCGGCCUGAGAGGGUGAUCGGCCACAUUGGGACUGAGAUACGGCCCAGACUCCUACGGGAGGCAGCAGUGGGGAAUAUUGCACAAUGGGCGGAAGCCUGAUGCAGCAACGCCGCGUGCGGGAUGACGGCCUUCGGGUUGUAAACCGCUUUCGCCUGUGACGAAGCGUGAGUGACGGUAAUGGGUAAAGAAGCACCGGCUAACUACGUGCCAGCAGCCGCGGUGAUACGUAGGGUGCGAGCGUUGUCCGGAUUUAUUGGGCGUAAAGGGCUCGUAGGUGGUUGAUCGCGUCGGAAGUGUAAUCUUGGGGCUUAACCCUGAGCGUGCUUUCGAUACGGGUUGACUUGAGGAAGGUAGGGGAGAAUGGAAUUCCUGGUGGAGCGGUGGAAUGCGCAGAUAUCAGGAGGAACACCAGUGGCGAAGGCGGUUCUCUGGGCCUUUCCUGACGCUGAGGAGCGAAAGCGUGGGGAGCGAACAGGCUUAGAUACCCUGGUAGUCCACGCUGUAAACGGUGGGUACUAGGUGUGGGGUCCAUUCCACGGGUUCCGUGCCGUAGCUAACGCUUUAAGUACCCCGCCUGGGGAGUACGGCCGCAAGGCUAAAACUCAAAGGAAUUGACGGGGCCCCGCACAAGCGGCGGAGCAUGCGGAUUAAUUCGAUGCAACGCGUAGAACCUUACCUGGGUUUGACAUGGAUCGGGAGUGCUCAGAGAUGGGUGUGCCUCUUUUGGGGUCGGUUCACAGGUGGUGCAUGGCUGUCGUCAGCUCGUGUCGUGAGAUGUUGGGUUAAGUCCCGCAACGAGCGCAACCCUUGUUCACUGUUGCCAGCACGUUAUGGUGGGGACUCAGUGGAGACCGCCGGGGUCAACUCGGAGGAAGGUGGGGAUGACGUCAAGUCAUCAUGCCCCUUAUGUCCAGGGCUUCACGCAUGCUACAAUGGCUGGUACAGAGAGUGGCGAGCCUGUGAGGGUGAGCGAAUCUCGGAAAGCCGGUCUCAGUUCGGAUUGGGGUCUGCAACUCGACCUCAUGAAGUCGGAGUCGCUAGUAAUCGCAGAUCAGCAACGCUGCGGUGAAUACGUUCCCGGG